UGUUGGAUUACAUCUGAUGAUGACAUAGGUUGUAGUUCAAUACAUCUGGAGAUCAACAGGUUCAAGAAUGAGCAAGAAACAUUGUCAGACAGGAAGAAGUCAAAAGUAAGAGAUUUCCAGAUACGUGGUUAUUUUCUGACGUAUUUGUCAAAUGGACUUUCACCAUCAUAUUGUUGUACUAAAAGCAACGCUUAGCACUGUCCAAGAAGUAUGUAAUCCACAUAGUUUACAAUAUUGCAGAAAAUGAAAUGGAAUACUGGAUCUAAAGCACUUCAGGACUGAAGUUUUUCUUCAUGUCAGAAAC
Pogona vitticeps (central bearded dragon) is the source of this 304-nucleotide non-coding RNA. The record is from RefSeq and is a predicted model, not a curated record. NCBI's taxonomy places the organism in Eukaryota, Metazoa, Chordata, Lepidosauria, Squamata, Agamidae.